AAUUAAAUCAGGCUUGUGCCAAAGACAGCAGGUGCAAAUGGCUUAAUAUCCUGCCGAGGUCAAUGUACUCAGUAUCUCCCGUGUCGCCAACACUCAUGAAGUGAUGUGGCGUCUGAGAUACGAAGUAAAACCCCGGCAUGGCGUCCGGGGUUUUGUUUUGGUCGA
This is a regulatory RNA element of Microcoleus sp., 165 nucleotides long. It matches the Rfam family "Ribosomal protein L10 leader". Rfam says of the family: This family is a putative r-protein leader autoregulatory structure found in B. subtilis and other low-GC Gram-positive bacteria. It is located in the 5' untranslated regions of mRNAs encoding ribosomal proteins L10 and L12 (rplJ-rplL). A Rho-independent transcription terminator structure that is probably involved in regulation is included at the 3' end. The record is from Rfam. Lineage: Bacteria; Bacillati; Cyanobacteriota; Cyanophyceae; Oscillatoriales; Microcoleaceae.